Molecule: ribosomal RNA, 253 nt
Filed under: uncultured bacterium
Lineage: Bacteria
Description: partial 16S ribosomal RNA
Rfam family: Bacterial small subunit ribosomal RNA
Source: RNAcentral
UACGUAGGGGCCGAGCGUUGUCCGGAGUUAUUGGGCGUAAAGCGCGCGCAGGCGGCUUGGCGCGCCCGACGUGAAAGCCCCCGGCUUAACCGGGGAGAGUCGUCGGGGACGGCCGGGCUUGAGGGCGGGAGAGGGUGGUGGAAUUCCCGGUGUAGUGGUGAAAUGCGUAGAGAUCGGGAGGAACACCUGUGGCGAAGGCGGCCACCUGGGCCGACCCUGACGCUGAGGCGCGAAGGCGUGGGGAGCGAACGAG